RNAcentral lists this small nuclear RNA (181 nucleotides) under Castor canadensis (American beaver). Its description in RNAcentral is "U2 spliceosomal RNA (ENSCCNG00000008809.1)". It matches the Rfam family "U2 spliceosomal RNA". From Rfam's summary of the family: U2 is a small nuclear RNA (snRNA) component of the spliceosome (involved in pre-mRNA splicing). Complementary binding between U2 snRNA (in an area lying towards the 5' end but 3' to hairpin I) and the branchpoint sequence (BPS) of the intron results the bulging out of an unpaired adenosine, on the BPS, which initiates a nucleophilic attack at the intronic 5' splice site, thus starting the first of two transesterification reactions that mediate splicing. The record is from Rfam by way of RNAcentral. Lineage: Eukaryota; Metazoa; Chordata; Mammalia; Rodentia; Castoridae.
AUCAUUUCUCGGCCAAGAUCAAGUGUAGUAUCUGUCAUCAGUUUAAUAUCUGAUAGGUCUUCUAUACGAGGACAAUAUAUUAAAUGGACUUUUGGAACAGUGAGAUGAAACAGGAGCUUGCUCCGUCCACUCCAGGCAUCGAUACUGGUAUUGCAGCAUCUCCAAGAACGGUGCAAAAAAA